Pipra filicauda (Wire-tailed manakin) is the source of this 371-nucleotide long non-coding RNA. RefSeq lists it as uncharacterized. The record is from RefSeq and is a predicted model, not a curated record. NCBI's taxonomy places the organism in Eukaryota, Metazoa, Chordata, Aves, Passeriformes, Pipridae. The transcript has 3 exons.
GCUUGAUCCCGAAAAAUGCAGAGAAUCCAUCUUCAUCCUGUUUUUAAUUAAAUUUUCCAUUUGUUCAUAACGCAGGUGGGAUCCGAUGCAAACACUGGAGAGCUGAAAUCUAGAGUACCAGCUUCCACUUCUUGUCCUGGACUUGACUGAAAGCUUUUCUGAGAGACACCUACCUCUUCUGAAGAAGAAAUCUCCGAGCACCACACCUCACCAUUUUUACUGGAACAACAAAACAUGCUUUCUGCUAAUUUUAAUAACUGGAAUAAAAGCACACAUGACAGCAGAGUCACAAAAUAAGACAGAAAAUGCUUUACAAUGAGAAUGGGGGGAACCAAGAACUGGAUAAGGAAAAUGAAGAAUAAAGGUGUGAG